This 254-nucleotide ribosomal RNA is filed under the name uncultured bacterium. RNAcentral describes it as "partial 16S ribosomal RNA". It matches the Rfam family "Bacterial small subunit ribosomal RNA", at positions 524 to 776 of the family's 1533-position model. The record is from RNAcentral.
UACGAAGGGGGCUAGCGUUGCUCGGAAUCACUGGGCGUAAAGGGCGCGUAGGCGGAUGUUUAAGUCGGGGGUGAAAGCCCGGGGCUCAACCUCGGAAUUGCCUUCGAUACUGGACAUCUUGAGUACGGGAGAGGUGAGUGGAACUCCGAGUGUAGAGGUGAAAUUCGUAGAUAUUCGGAAGAACACCAGUGGCGAAGGCGACUCACUGGCCCGUUACUGACGCCUGAGGCGCGAAAGCGUGGGGAGCAAACAGG